UAAGUACCUUAUUAUCAUUUCUGAAGGCGGCUCAUCUGCUGUUGUAAGCCUCUGGUUAAUUGCUUGAAAUGGACAUUUUGUUGCUUGAUAUGCUUAGCGGAUAGCUGCAGAAGAAUGUUUUGCUGUUAGUGCAUUAUCAUCAAGAAUUUUGAUAGGACAAGAUAGUAUUUGAGUUAGCAGAGGAGGCUAUUUUGUCUAAAUGUUGAGAUUCAGAUGCUUAUAUUCUGCUUAUAUCGUGC
This 239-nucleotide long non-coding RNA is filed under the name Nicotiana benthamiana. Its description in RNAcentral is "long non-coding RNA (NBEN_LNC037337)". Lineage: Eukaryota; Viridiplantae; Streptophyta; Magnoliopsida; Solanales; Solanaceae. The record is from RNAcentral.